This 403-nucleotide ribosomal RNA is filed under the name uncultured bacterium. Its description in RNAcentral is "bacterial SSU rRNA". It matches the Rfam family "Bacterial small subunit ribosomal RNA", at positions 362 to 757 of the family's 1533-position model. The record is from RNAcentral.
UUUUGGACAAUGGGCGCAAGCCUGAUCCAGCAAUGCCGCGUGAGUGAAGAAGGCCUUCGGGUUGUAAAGCUCUUUUGUCAGGGAAGAAACGGUGAGCUCUAAUACAGUUUGCUAAUGACGGUACCUGAAGAAUAAGCACCGGCUAACUACGUGCCAGCAGCCGCGGUAAUACGUAGGGUGCAAGCGUUAAUCGGAAUUACUGGGCGUAAAGCGUGCGCAGGCGGUUAUAUAAGACAGUUGUGAAAUCCCCGAGCUCAACCUGGGAAUUGCAUCUGUGACUGUAUAGCUAGAGUACGGUAGAGGGGGAUGGAAUUCCGCGUGUAGCAGUGAAAUGCGUAGAUAUGCGGAGGAACACCGAUGGCGAAGGCAAUCCCCUGGACCUAUACUGACGCUCAUGCACGAA